CGAGACACUAUGGUCAAAGUGCUUGCUAGUACAAGUCAGCCUUGGCCAUUACACAUGGUUCCCACUCACUGCCCGUGUGGAUGCCUCCUCCGAAGCAGCUUGUCUGUACCUGGGAUGAAGAGCCACUAGGUGGCGCUGUUGUCACUCGAAACUGGAAACCCAAGACCUCGAAGGGAGUGUGAAGAGAAGGAGGCAGAAUGAGGCCAAGCAGAAGAUACCUCGUGCCCAGAUCUUGGUUUCUAAUGCCACACUCCAAAAGAAGAAACUAAGGUGUCCUGGAGAAGUAGCUGAUUCACGAGGAGGCAAGAUUCACAAAACAGGCCGGUAC
Molecule: long non-coding RNA, 328 nt
Organism: Orcinus orca (killer whale)
Lineage: Eukaryota; Metazoa; Chordata; Mammalia; Artiodactyla; Delphinidae
Exons: 3
Source: RefSeq, a predicted model, not a curated record